Molecule: ribosomal RNA, 306 nt
Filed under: uncultured bacterium
Lineage: Bacteria
Description: partial 16S ribosomal RNA
Rfam family: Bacterial small subunit ribosomal RNA
Source: RNAcentral
GACAGCAGUAGCCGCGGUAAUACGUAGGUGGCAAGCGUUGUCCGGAUUUAUUGGGCGUAAAGCGAGCGCAGGCGGUUAGAUAAGUCUGAAGUUAAAGGCUGUGGCUUAACCAUAGUACGCUUUGGAAACUGUUUAACUUGAGUGCAAGAGGGGAGAGUGGAAUUCCAUGUGUAGCGGUGAAAUGCGUAGAUAUAUGGAGGAACACCGGUGGCGAAAGCGGCUCUCUGGCUUGUAACUGACGCUGAGGCUCGAAAGCGUGGGGAGCGAACAGGAUUAGAUACCCGGGUAGUCCCUGUCUCUUAUACA